UUAGAAAAACAAGUCAAUUAGGUGUGGGAAAAUCUUAGUAACAUCACAAUGGAGUCUUAACGAUCUUCUGUGAGCAGAUUCACCAGUUAUAAUUUACACCUUUUCAUCUAAUUCUACAAAAUAAACAAAAGUUAAGAUUCCCGGAAACAGCAAAAGUUGUGUCAACAUGAGAAACUUUCACAGAACUCGAGGAAAGAUCCAUUGAAGGUCGACGGACUCUCCUUUGAAAGCAAUUUGCGAACAGGUUUUUAGUUUGUUCUGAAAAAAGCAAUUCAAAAGAGGAAACUAUUUUGGGGCUGUGCGAUUUCAAAGAAAUUAAUUUUAAUCUUCCAGCGGCUUUUGUAUGAAGAAUCACUCACUAUUUCGUGGACAAUAAAAACAAACCGAAACAAUAAAAGAAAACAUGACAAGAAAUUUUUUUAUCUUUUUUAUAUUAAUAAUUUACAUUUUAGAUAUAACAAUCUGUGAGUUGAUACCAUUGUUUUUAUGU
Molecule: long non-coding RNA, 490 nt
Organism: Hermetia illucens (black soldier fly)
Lineage: Eukaryota; Metazoa; Arthropoda; Insecta; Diptera; Stratiomyidae
Exons: 3
Source: RefSeq, a predicted model, not a curated record